Molecule: long non-coding RNA, 613 nt
Organism: Ictidomys tridecemlineatus (thirteen-lined ground squirrel)
Lineage: Eukaryota; Metazoa; Chordata; Mammalia; Rodentia; Sciuridae
Source: RefSeq, a predicted model, not a curated record
UGGGCUGCAUUGGAGCCGGGGCCCGCGGAGCCGCGACCUGACAGUACCAGAGUUGAAGGAGCCGGGACGCGCAAAGGCGCGUGGAACCCGGGAGGGGACCGGUGCCUGCGAACGGCCCGAGCAAGGUGGACUGAACUCUAAGAUUAAUCCUUCCGGAGAAGAUUAUAUUCUUGCUCUUAAGCCUGGUUUACAUAGUUCCCACUAAUCUUCAGAGAAGUCACCUCAGAGAGCAAACUUUGCACCAGUCGCUCUUUUCCGUCCUCCUUUCAAGGUUUGUGUGCACCUGAAGCGUCCCCCUGUUGGUUGGUUCUGAGGAACUCGGGAAGUAACCUGCGGGAAUGAACGGCGCUGAGCACCAUAGUGCCCGUAUAUGAGUGGACACAAGAUUUGUGACACUUACAUCGUCAAGCUUAUUUCGGUUGAUCUGUACAAUAUUUUGUCCCCCAGAAGAACCCUUGAGUAUUUUCCACGAUGGAUCACGCCUGACUGAUAGGAAGUGUUCAAUAAAUGUGACUCCAAAGAGCUCAUGUGUUAGGCAAUGGAGAAAUGUUCAGAGGCGAAAGGAUUGGAUUAUGAGAACUGUAAAUAAAAGUGAAUAUAGUGCAGCAAGGAA